This 447-nucleotide ribosomal RNA is filed under the name uncultured bacterium. RNAcentral describes it as "bacterial SSU rRNA". It matches the Rfam family "Bacterial small subunit ribosomal RNA", at positions 329 to 793 of the family's 1533-position model. The record is from RNAcentral.
UUCCAGACUCCUACGGGAGGCAGCAGUGGGGAAUAUUGCACAAUGGGGGAAACCCUGAUGCAGCGACGCCGCGUGAGCGAUGAAGUAUUUCGGUAUGUAAAGCUCUAUCAGCAGGGAAGAAGAUGACGGUACCUGACUAAGAAGCCCCGGCUAACUACGUGCCAGCAGCCGCGGUAAUACGUAGGGGGCAAGCGUUAUCCGGAUUUACUGGGUGUAAAGGGAGCGUAGACGGCGGCGCAAGCCAGAUGUGAAAGCCCGGGGCUCAACUCCGGGACUGCAUUUGGAACUGUGUGGCUGGAGUGUCGGAGAGGCAGGCGGAAUUCCUAGUGUAGCGGUGAAAUGCGUAGAUAUUAGGAGGAACACCAGUGGCGAAGGCGGCCUGCUGGACGAUGACUGACGUUGAGGCUCGAAAGCGUGGGGAGCAAACAGGAUUAGAUACCCUGGUAU